CAUUAAAAAAUUAAAAAAAAAAAGUCAGCCUGCUUCCAUCGAAGAAGGACGAGAACACCCCGAGCCGGUCUCAAGGAAACGAAGCUGAGCAACUCGGGUAGAAUUCCUCCGAAGCAGAUCCAGGCUCGGCCUCGCCCACCUCCGUACUGCUCGUCCUGCUUUCCCCCCUGCGCCUACCUGGUCCCGAGGCUACCUCCCCGGCGUUCUGGAAAGGUCACGCUGAGUCCCGCGGGACAGAACACAGGGCUGAAAGCGCCCGGCCCGCCUUGCAGCGAAGCUUCGGCCCGACGGCAACCACUGCCUCCAGGGAACAGCCGGCUCUAGGCCCUCGAAGGGAGCUGCCUGCAACCUGGGCACCCCCACAACUAUGGCUUAUUUGAAUUUGUUCCAUCCGCGGUCACAAAGCCCACACUCAUGCGUAGAACUCGUUAAUCCUCAGGUUUUGUGACAAAGGUCAGUCGUUCCAAAAUAAACGAUUAUUGAUUAGCCAAACCAGAAAUAAAUUUGGGGGAAAUGUG
Molecule: long non-coding RNA, 518 nt
Organism: Canis lupus familiaris (dog)
Lineage: Eukaryota; Metazoa; Chordata; Mammalia; Carnivora; Canidae
Exons: 2
Source: RefSeq, a predicted model, not a curated record